AUGUCGUCGUUCGCCGGCGUCUCUGUGGUGGAGGACGGCGGGCUGUGCGACUCCACCGUGGCCUUCAUCAACACCAGCUCCGAGUGCGGGUACCACCUGCUUGUGGUCGAAAACUACUCACGUACCAACAAGUCGAGACCCACUAGCGAGAGCGUCACCUCCCGCGAGUUCGGGGUAGGAGGCCAUUGUUGGCUCAUCAAGUGCUUCCCUAACGGCAAGAGCACGGAUUGCGCCGACUUCGUUUCCCUCGAUGUUGUUCUUGAUGACGACGAUGACGGCAAGACGCCUGUGAAAGCCAAGUUCACCUUCAGUUUCAUCGACCAGGUUGAGAUGCAGAAUCCUCUCUACGUUGGUCAAGCUGAAACAUGCAGCUUUCCCUCCAAGGGUUCUUCUUGGGGCUACGACAGGUUUGUGAGAAAAGACGCCGUUGAACGAUCAAUGAAUCUGGAGGCUGAAUGUUUCACCAUCCGGUGUGACAUCAUGGUCUGCAACACCGAGGAUGAUGAUGCCGCUGGCCAUGGAAACGGGGUGCGCCUGCCUGACAUUUGCCAUCAUUUUAACAAUCUCCUUCAAACCAAGGUUGGUGCUGAUGUCACAUUUGAGGUCAGUGGUGAGACGUUCCCUGCACACCGGUGUGUGCUUGCAGCCAGGUCUAAAGUCUUCAUGGCACAACUCUUUGGCCCCAUGAAGGAGACAUCCACCGUCAUACAUAUCAAAGACAUGGAAGCAAAAGUGUUCAGGGCUUUGCUUAGUUUCAUCUACACAGACUCGUUCCCUGGGAUGGAGAUGGAUGACAUGGAGGACGACGAAACAGAAGUUGAUGAGAUGCGGCUGCAAUGGCUGCAAGACUUGUUGGUAGCGGCAGACCGAUAUGAUCUUCAACGACUCAAGUUCAUAUGUGAAAUGCAGUUGUCUGAGAACAUACAGGUGAGCUCGGUGGCGUCUACACUAGUUCUAGCCGAGCAGCACCACUGCUCCGGAUUGAAGGAGGCGUGCUUCAAGUUUAUCCAAGCCCAGUCUCCAUCGUGUUUGCAAACACUAAUGGCGUCUCAUGGUUGGCAGCAUAUACUUGCAACAUAUCCCCUUGUUUUGAACGAGCUCAUUGCCAAGCUUAUUGCUUUGAAUCAGAAGUGA
This 1134-nucleotide ribosomal RNA is filed under the name Triticum aestivum (bread wheat). RNAcentral describes it as "partial small subunit ribosomal RNA". The record is from RNAcentral. Lineage: Eukaryota; Viridiplantae; Streptophyta; Magnoliopsida; Poales; Poaceae.